Molecule: long non-coding RNA, 1449 nt
Organism: Eriocheir sinensis (Chinese mitten crab)
Lineage: Eukaryota; Metazoa; Arthropoda; Malacostraca; Decapoda; Varunidae
Exons: 3
Source: RefSeq, a predicted model, not a curated record
UAGUUCUGUUAGUUGUACUUUUUAUAAUUGACUAGUGAGAAUUUUUAACUUUGAGCGAACGUGACUUGCUACAUUAAUUAGUACAACAAUUUGCAUUAUCUUCCGACUGCUGUAAAUCCCAGUAAAUCAUAAUACUUGCAUAACUGAAUUUUUCUUGCGUAAAACAAAUACUUGGCACAUUUAGGUUAGUCACAUAUGAGUGAAUUCGCAUAUUACGAACUCACAUAUAUCAAAUACCCAGUGUAGUUUUGUUUGUUGUUCUUUUUAUAAUUGACUAGUGAGAAUUUUUAACUAUUUCUGAGCGAACGUGACCAGCUACAUUAAUUAGUACAAGAAUUUGCAUUAUCUUCCAACUGCUGUAAAUCCCAGUAAAUCACAAUACUUGCAUAACAGUGAAUUUUUCUUGCGUAAAACAAAUACUUGGCACAUUUAGGUUAGUCACAUAUGAGUGAAUUCGCAUAUUACGAGCUCACAUAUAUCAAAUACCUGGUGUAGUUCUGUUAGUUGUACUUUUUAUAAUUGACUAGUGAGAAUUUUUAACUUUGAGCGAACGUGACUAGCUAUAUUAAUUAGUACAACAAUUUGCAUUAUCUUCCAACUGCUGUAAAUCCCAGUAAAUCACAAUACUUGCAUAACAGUGAAUUUUUCUUGCGUAAAACAAAUACUUGGCACAUUUAGGUAAAACAAAUACUUGGCACAUUUAGGUAAAACAAAUACUUGGCACAUUUAGGUAAAACAAAUACUUGGCACAUUUAGGUAAAACAAAUACUUGGCACAUUUAGGUAAAACAAAUACUUGGCACAUUUAGGUAAAACAAAUACUUGGCACAUUUAGGUAAAACAAAUACUUGGCACAUUUAGGUAAAACAAAUACUUGGCACAUUUAGGUAAAACAAAUACUUGGCACAUUUAGGUAAAACAAAUACUUGGCACAUUUAGGUAAAACAAAUACUUGGCACAUUUAGGUUAAUCACAUAUGAGCGAAUUCGCAUAUUACAAACUCACAUAUAUCAAAUACCCAAUGUACUUUCAUAAUUUGUGGGUACCAGAUAUCCAUAAACAAGACCAAUUAUCAGAAAAACUACAUUUAGAUAUCAACAGUGGUGAUUUUAAGAGGUAGCCUAAUGGAAUUUGCUGCGGGUUAGAUACAGUAAACAAGAGCACAUUGACCCUCGCCCAAGCAAUGAUGCCAAGCCCACAAAUCCGCCCUUGAAGGAUUAACCCGCGACCUUUUGUGAAACCAACUAUAGUAAUUUAUAUUUCUCCAGGAUAAAUUUCUCCCCUAAUGUUCAUCACCCGUGGGCAUGUUUAACCCGGUAGCAGCGAUGGGCCAAAUUUGUGGCUUUACCGUGUAGCAGCGACGGGCCAAAUUUGUGGCUUUACCGUGUAGCAGCGACGGGCCAAAUUUGUGGCUUUACCGUGUAGCAGCGACGGGCCAAAGUUGUGGCUU